Molecule: long non-coding RNA, 582 nt
Organism: Artibeus jamaicensis (Jamaican fruit-eating bat)
Lineage: Eukaryota; Metazoa; Chordata; Mammalia; Chiroptera; Phyllostomidae
Exons: 3
Source: RefSeq, a predicted model, not a curated record
GGCGGGGGCGGGGCGGCCCUGAAGUGCGGGUUAGGCGUCGGCCCGGAGCGGCGGGGCCGGAUGAGUGACAGCUGCGAGGCCGGCUGAGUGCCCGCCCUCCGCAGCUCGGGGGAGGGAUCGGACCCUCAACUACCCAGCCGGGGAAGGGGCGCGACGACUGGCAGCGGAAGCCGCUCUGUCCUGGGCCUCCGGGUCCUGCCAGGACCCCGUCUGUGGGUAGAAAAUUUUGCUGCAGGUGUCAGAAGCUUUUAUAAUUCUCGAGCUCAGCCUCGGGGAAGGAAUGAGACAAACGUGGAGGAGUAAAUGAAGCCUGCAAUUCCUAGUUGUGCCAAGGCCCGAAGAAGUCGGCCUGGUGCCAGGCGGGCACCAGCUGCCAUCAACGCUUUGGCUCCAAGCCCCUACAUUCCACUGCCAACAAUUCAAUGCAAAUGCUAUUGCCCACUCAAGGACAAGAUAACAACUGCCUUUUGCCAGACGUGACUUUGCUGUGACCAGAUGACAUCAAGACAAGCUGCGACCUUCCUGUUCUUCUUGCCUUCAACCCCCCCCUUUUAAAAAUAGAUAAAUAAAUACAGCAGUGUA